Molecule: long non-coding RNA, 304 nt
Filed under: Olea europaea subsp. europaea
Lineage: Eukaryota; Viridiplantae; Streptophyta; Magnoliopsida; Lamiales; Oleaceae
Source: RNAcentral
CUAGAGUACCAUAUUCUAAUGCUGUGGGAUCAGUUAUAUAUCUAAGGAUUUGUUCUAGGCCUGAUUUGGCAUUUGCAAUAAGUAUAUUGAGUAGAUACAUGUCCAAUCCUAGUGAGGUUCAUUGGGAAGCUAUGAAGUGGCUUCUAAGAUAUAUAAAAGGAACUUGUGACCUAGGAAUUGAGUAUAAAAAGCAAUCUGAAGGUGUUAUCUUUAGGAGUUACACAAAUUCUGAUUAUGUAGGUGAUAGGGACAACAGAAAAUCAACUUCUGCCUAUGUGUACACUUUAUGUAAUUCCUGUAUAAG